CAGCAGUCGCCACGGUAAUACGAAGGGUGCAAGCGUUACUCGGAAUUACUGGGCGUAAAGCGUGCGUAGGUGGUGGUUUAAGUCCGUUGUGAAAGCCCUGGGCUCAACCUGGGAAUUGCAGUGGAUACUGGGUCACUAGAGUGUGGUAGAGGAUAGUGGAAUUUCCGGUGUAGCAGUGAAAUGCGUAGAGAUCGGAAGGAACAUCUGUGGCGAAGGCGACUAUCUGGGCCAACACUGACACUGAGGCACGAAAGCGUGGGGAGCAAACAGGAUUAGAGACCCGCGUAGUCCCUGUCUCUUAUAC
This 304-nucleotide ribosomal RNA is filed under the name uncultured bacterium. RNAcentral describes it as "partial 16S ribosomal RNA". It matches the Rfam family "Bacterial small subunit ribosomal RNA", at positions 506 to 807 of the family's 1533-position model. The record is from RNAcentral.